This 253-nucleotide ribosomal RNA is filed under the name uncultured bacterium. Its description in RNAcentral is "partial 16S ribosomal RNA". It matches the Rfam family "Bacterial small subunit ribosomal RNA", at positions 524 to 776 of the family's 1533-position model. The record is from RNAcentral.
UACAGAGGUCUCAAGCGUUGUUCGGAUUCAUUGGGCGUAAAGGGUGCGUAGGCGGCGCCGUAAGUCGGAUGUGAAAUCUCAGGGCUUAACUCGGAGCGGUCAAGUGAUACUGUCGGACUAGAGUACAGAAGGGGCAACUGGAAUUCUCGGUGUAGCGGUGAAAUGCGUAGAUAUCGAGAGGAACACCUGCGGCGAAGGCGGGUUGCUGGGCUGAUACUGACGCUGAGGCGCGAAAGCCAGGGGAGCGAACGGG